RNAcentral lists this long non-coding RNA (572 nucleotides) under Gossypium raimondii (Peruvian cotton). RNAcentral's name for it is "long non-coding RNA (GRAI_LNC009208)". The record is from RNAcentral. Lineage: Eukaryota; Viridiplantae; Streptophyta; Magnoliopsida; Malvales; Malvaceae.
CACGCCUGUGUGGCCAUCCAUAUGGUCAUGAAACCACCCAUAAACAACUUGGAAAAUGAAUUUUUUAUUCACCAAACCGACCCUCCAUCAAUGGGAUUCAGAAACAUACCAACAUAUACAAAUUUCCGUGACAUUCAACAAUAUUACCGAACAUCGACAACCAAUUUCCAAAAAAAAAAAGAAAAAAAACACACAUAGGUUGCCCCACUCCACCAAAAUCAAACUUACAAUUCACAUAUAAAAUUGAAAGGUCUCGAAACCCACACCUAAAUCAUGAUCAAAGAUGUCCAAACAUUGACUCAACGACCCCAGUGCAAAAUUCUUCAAAACCCACUAGCAAAACUACUUUCCAAGAAAAAGAAAAGAAGCAAAAACCAAAAAGAAAAGAAACCAAGAAAGAGGAAGAAAAGAAUGUCCAACAAAAGAAAAAGAAAAAGAAAAAUAAAUACAAUAUAAUAAUAAUAAUAAAUAUAAAUGGUCAUAUAUUUUAAAUUAAAACAAAACUACUAUUUAACAAAAUAAAACAAAAUAAAAAUGUUUUUCCGAAAUGCGCACACAAAGACUCAAACCCA